ACGGGGCGGAGAAGGUUUCCUGCACCCGCGGAGGGAGAGGGACUAGGAGGGGGCUGCGCGGGGGAGGGGAGGGGGCUUCCGGCCCAGGGACUGAGGCGAGGGUGGCGGGAGCGGCGCGCGGGCAGGGCUGGGGUGGGGCGCGCGGAGUGGAGAGCGCUGGGGGCGCUGGCGGCGGAGCCUUUGAGGUCUCCUGACCCAGUGGGCUGGGGCUGAGAGACCGAGCCGAGCUGCCGUGGGCGGCCGGGACAUGUGGGCACACGGGGGCUCCUCCUUUUUCCUCCCCGACGCCGGGCAGUGGGCGACGACGGCCUGGUCUUCUCCCUGGAACCUCAGGGCGGGGCCGGGCCUGGAGCUUGGGUCUCUGUCCGGAGGGGGGUGUCACGGAAAGAACUGGAGCUGAGAGUCGCGACUCCGCGGUCCCUUUAGGAGGCGGCCUGCCCCCGGCUUUCAGGGGUCUCCAAGCGCAGUGUUCUCCUGCCCUCCUUGGGCGUCGCUCAAUUCCUCCCGUACCUGAGGGUCGACCACCCCGCGGUGAUCUUGCAGUCCUGACAGCCUUACUGAAGAGUGGAGUGUGGGGACCAGCAGAGAGUAAUGAUUUUGGUUAUACAGUGCGCCCUCGUUUUACAUUGGAGAAACUGAGGCCCGGAGAAAGUAUCCGGCUGCAUUUGCAGGCUGCGGCACCGCUUCCCCCCCCCCCCCCCCACACACACACACUUACUCCCCCUUAGCUCUCCUGGUUAACCCUGUCGCAUGCCAAAGAAGGGAAAAGUAAGUGCAUGUGAGAUCAAUGGUGACCUUCUUCGGCUCCGGCUGCCAUAGCAGCGGCUGUGCCAGUGACCAAGCUCCCUUUCAGUGCCUUCUGCCAGCCCUCAGACUCCUAGGCCACUUCCAGCCCUGUAUGGAAAAGAGCAGCCUGGGACUCCCAGGCCGAGGGGGAAGGAGAUGAAGAGCUGUGCAGCAUUGUACGCCAGUGCCCGAGGACUCAGAAGACCUUGUAUCUGGAAAUUCAUGCUCUACAGGAGACCCUGGGGAAUUCAUGUUAUGCAGAAGCAGCCCUUCGUAGGGAGAGAGCAGUGAGGUCAGAUCAGGAACCUGAGGCCUGAAGAAGUUAGAUGACCUGGUUAUGGCCAACUGACUGAAUUCAAAGCCUGCCUGAUUCCACGGUCCCGGAUUCCACGGUCCAUGCUCCCUACUAAAAGACUCCUUUGGGCAGCAUUGUGUGACCACGCCAUGCAAGAUCCAGGUUCUGCCUUGGAGAGCUGAUGAUCCAAACCAGCAGGAGGCUAGACAAGUCCUGAUAAGGCCACUUAAAAAAAUAAUAAUACGGGUCUUGUUCCGUCACUCAGGCUGGAGUGUAGUGGCACAAUCACAGCUCAGUGCAGUCUUGACCUGCCAAGCUCAAGUGAUCCUCCCACCUUGGCCUCCCAGAGUGCUGGGAUUACAGGCCUCAGACAUGGUACUCAGCCCUUAUAAGGACUUUGAUGAAAGAGUACAGGGUGUGUGGUAAGAGUGGCUCCCAGAGGAGGGGCUGAGUUGUAUUCCAGCAGGAUUAGUUGGAUGGGGGCAGAGGGAAAGUUCAGGAUAAGGGAACAUUUCACCGAAGUGAGAACUUGUAGAAUAUCCUGACUUGUUAGGGGACUUGUAGGCAGUUUUUAUGUGGUCAUAUAUGUGGUGGGCAGGAUGGGGAAGGCGAAUUCAGUCAGAUGCCACCAAGGAGGCAGCAGGAGCCAGAGCUUAAAGGCCUUGAAUGCUGACCUAAGGGAUUGAAAUUCCUCCUGCAAGUAGUAGGGGGCUACUGAAGCUUGAAGCAGGGUAUGACACAAUCUCAUUUUCAUCUUACAAGCUCAUUUUCAUGACUGCAAUUUGGGCAAGAAAGACAGGGUGGUCCAUUGAGUAGGAGAUUGUUCCAGAAAUCCAGGUUGGAGGCAAUGCAACUUGCUGGACCACUGAACCAGGGCAGUGGUUAUGAAGAAGAUGAGGAUAGAGUCAAGAGCUAGAAAAGAGAUAGAGGGAUCAGGACUUGGAAUGAUUUAUUUAUUCAUUGAUUCAUCCAUUCAAAAAAUACCUGUUGGCCGGGCACAGUGGCUCACUCCUAUAAUCCCAGCACUUUGCGGGGGCCGAGCUGGGUAGAUCAUGAGGUCAAGAGAUCGAGACCAUCCUGGUGAACAAGGUGAAACCCCGUCUCUACUAAAAAUACAAAAAUUAGCUGGGCAUGGUGGUGCGAGCCUGUAGUCCCAGCUACUCGGGAGGCUGAGGCAGGAGAAUUGCUUGAACCCAGGAGGCGGAGGUUGCGGUGAGCCGAGAUCCUACCAUUGUGCUCCAGCCUGGGUAACAAGAGUGAAACUCCGCCUCAAAAAAAAGAAACAUUAAUUAAUUAAUUAAUUAAUUUUAAAAAUACCUGUUGUGGCUGGGCGUGGUGGCUCACGCCAAUCCCAGCAAUUUGGGAGGUAGAGGAGGACGGAUCACCUGAGGUCAGGAGUUUGAGACCAGCCUGGUCAAUGUGACAAAAACCCUGUCUCUACUAAAAAUACAAAAAUUAGCCAGGCAUUGUGGCACACACCUGUAAUCCCAGCUACUCAGAGGUGGAGGCAGGAGAAUCGCUUGAACCCAGGAGCCACUGUAUUCCAGUCUGGGUGACAGAGCAAGACUCCAUCUCAAAAAAAAAAUAGAAACUGGGGAGCCCAUUUUUAGAUAUGGUAUGCAUGGUGGGAGAAGCCUUUCUGAAGAGUGGAUAUUUCAGCUGAGACCUAAACGAUGACAAAAAAGACAGCCAUACAAAGAGGUGGGGAAGAAGGGGGAGGGCACUUCCUGCAAAAGAAAGAGCAAGUGCAAAGACUCUGGCACAAGAAAGGGCUUUGGGUAUUAAGGAACAUUGAGGAGGCCACUGUGACAAGCUUAGUGAGCAAGGGAGAGCAGUAGGCUUGAGGUCACAGUUCAAGGAAGGGGAAAUUGACCUCAGGCUAUGGUAAGGACUGUGGAUUUUAUUCUAAGAUGAAUAGUCUCAGGGAGGCAUUGAGGGUUUUUAACUACAGCAGCUGCAAAAUCUGAUUUAUACAUCUAAAAGACCCCAUGCAAGUAAACAAAUAAACAUGUUAACAACUCAAUGUGUUUUUUUGUUUUUGUUUUUUGUUUCUUGAGAUGGAGUCUCCCUCUGUCACCCAGGCUGGAUUGCAGUGGUGCAAUCUUGGCUCACCGCAACAUCCGCCUCCCGAGUUCAGGCAAUUCUCCUGCCUCAGCCUCCUGAGUAGCUGGGAUUACAGGCACGCGCCACCAUGCCCAGCUAAUUUUUUGUAUUUUUAGUAGAAACGGGGUUUCACCAUGUUGACCAGGAUGGUCUCGAUCUCUUGACCUCGUGAUCCAACCGCC
Callithrix jacchus (white-tufted-ear marmoset) is the source of this 3366-nucleotide non-coding RNA. The record is from RefSeq and is a predicted model, not a curated record. Lineage: Eukaryota; Metazoa; Chordata; Mammalia; Primates; Cebidae.